AAUUCCUACGGGGCGCAGCAGUGGGGGAUAUUGCACAAUGGGGGAAACCCUGAUGCAGCGACGCCGCGUGGGCGAAGAAGUAUUUCGGUAUGUAAAGCCCUAUCAGCAGGGAAGAAGAAAUGACGGUACCUGAGUAAGAAGCACCGGCUAAAUACGUGCCAGCAGCCGCGGUAAUACGUAUGGUGCAAGCGUUAUCCGGAUUUACUGGGUGUAAAGGGAGCGCAGGCGGCGCGUUAAGCCUGGUGUGAAAGUCCGCGGCCCAACCGCGGGACUGCAUUGGGAACUGGCGCGCUGGAGUGCCGGAG
This 305-nucleotide ribosomal RNA is filed under the name uncultured bacterium. RNAcentral's name for it is "bacterial SSU rRNA". It matches the Rfam family "Bacterial small subunit ribosomal RNA", at positions 334 to 654 of the family's 1533-position model. The record is from RNAcentral.